RNAcentral lists this ribosomal RNA (839 nucleotides) under Hirsutella rhossiliensis. RNAcentral's name for it is "eukaryotic LSU rRNA". It matches the Rfam family "Eukaryotic large subunit ribosomal RNA", at positions 76 to 938 of the family's 3401-position model. RNAcentral also lists the same sequence under 1 other name. The record is from RNAcentral. Lineage: Eukaryota; Fungi; Ascomycota; Sordariomycetes; Hypocreales; Ophiocordycipitaceae.
UGCCCCAGUAACGGCGAGUGAAGCGGCAACAGCUCAAAUUUGAAAUCUGGCCCCCCCCGCGGGGCCCGAGUUGUAAUUUGCAGAGGAUGCUUUUGGCGCGGCGCCUUCCGAGUUCCCUGGAACGGGACGCCAUAGAGGGUGAGAGCCCCGUCUGGUCGGACGCCCAGCCUCUGUAAAGCUCCUUCGACGAGUCGAGUAGUUUGGGAAUGCUGCUCUAAAUGGGAGGUAUAUGUCUUCUAAAGCUAAAUACUGGCCAGAGACCGAUAGCGCACAAGUAGAGUGAUCGAAAGAUGAAAAGCACUUUGAAAAGAGGGUUAAACAGUACGUGAAAUUGUUGAAAGGGAAGCGCUUGUGACCAGACAUGGGCGCGGCGAAUCAUCCGGCGUUCUCGCCGGUGCACUUCGCCGCGCCCGGGCCAGCAUCAGUUCGCGGCGGGGGACAAAGGCGCCGGGAACGUGGCUCCCCCGGGAGUGUUAUAGCCCGGCGCGCAAUGCCCCGCGGCGGACUGAGGUUCGCGCAUCCGCAAGGAUGCUGGCGUAAUGGUCACCAGUGACCCGUCUUGAAACACGGACCAAGGAGUCGUCCUCGUAUGCGAGUGUUCGGGUGUCAAACCCCUACGCGCAAUGAAAGUGAACGCAGGUGAGAGCCUCACGGCGCAUCAUCGACCGAUCCUGAUGUUCUCGGAUGGAUUUGAGUAAGAGCAUACGGGGCCGGACCCGAAAGAAGGUGAACUAUGCCUGUGUAGGGUGAAGCCAGAGGAAACUCUGGUGGAGGCUCGCAGCGGUUCUGACGUGCAAAUCGAUCGUCAAACAUGGGCAUGGGGGCGAAAGACUAAUCGA